RNAcentral lists this transfer RNA (73 nucleotides) under Acidimicrobiales bacterium. Its description in RNAcentral is "tRNA-Thr". It matches the Rfam family "tRNA". Rfam says of the family: Transfer RNA (tRNA) molecules are approximately 80 nucleotides in length. Their secondary structure includes four short double-helical elements and three loops (D, anti-codon, and T loops). RNAcentral also lists the same sequence under 2 other names. The record is from RNAcentral. Lineage: Bacteria; Bacillati; Actinomycetota; Acidimicrobiia; Acidimicrobiales.
GCCCAAGUAGCUCAGUCGGCAGAGCAUCUCACUCGUAAUGAGAAGGUCAAGGGUUCGAUUCCCUUCUUGGGCU